GAUAAACGCUGGCGGCGCACAUAAGACAUGCAAGUCGAACGGAAGUCGUUGUAAUGAUAUGGACAUGAACGGAGAACUUGUUCAAAGAGAUUGAAAGUUGAUUUACAACAAUGGCUUUAGUGGCGGACUGGUGAGUAACACGUAAGCAACCUGCCUAUCAGAGGGGAACAACAGUUAGAAAUGACUGCUAAUACCGCAUAUGCCUUAGCAACACAUGUUGCAAAAGGGAAAGGAGUAAUCCGCUGAUAGAUGGGCUUGCGUCUGAUUAGAUUGUUGGUGGGGUAACGGCCUACCAAGUCGACGAUCAGUAGCCGGACUGAGAGGUUGAACGGCCACAUUGGGACUGAGAUACGGCCCAGACUCC
Molecule: ribosomal RNA, 364 nt
Filed under: uncultured Oscillospiraceae bacterium
Lineage: Bacteria; Bacillati; Bacillota; Clostridia; Eubacteriales; Oscillospiraceae
Description: bacterial SSU rRNA
Rfam family: Bacterial small subunit ribosomal RNA
Source: RNAcentral